GAGGAUAUCUGUGCUGAUGCUGUGAGAGAUGUGGUGUCGGAACAUUCAGGCCACUAAUUUAAUUCAAGAGGUCGACAGCAGGACAACAGUUCAUCUCCCUGAGUUAACCUGCCUCACCACCGGCAUCCUGCCCAAGCUGAGGCACUAAGGCUUUUUGAGGCUUAUCGAUAAGCGCUACCAGCUGGCGCUAGCCUAAGGCGAAGACGCCCUCCUACACCCACAAUUUCUUUUGUUUGGCUGGGAA
Molecule: long non-coding RNA, 244 nt
Organism: Alosa sapidissima (American shad)
Lineage: Eukaryota; Metazoa; Chordata; Actinopteri; Clupeiformes; Clupeidae
Exons: 3
Source: RefSeq, a predicted model, not a curated record